AGAAGGGAGAAGAAGACCCCAAAUGAGCCAGUGUGUGUGGAAGUUGACUUCUGAAACACUCCAGCUUUAGGAGAGAAAACCUCAGCUGCACUCGGACUGUUUUUCGCUGGGACUCAGAAUAAUGCUGCUUUGGACCACUCUGUACAAGGCGGCCACUGAUCACUACAAUCAGCUCUCCUGUCCAGGUCAAAUGGAUCCAGCUGUCAGCACAAAGUAUCCUCCGUGGACAAGUGUGUUGAGUGUCUGGGACUUGUAUCUUCCUACAAGUGGCUUGGCUAUGUAUGCAAAGGUGAGAU
Molecule: long non-coding RNA, 296 nt
Organism: Sphaeramia orbicularis (orbiculate cardinalfish)
Lineage: Eukaryota; Metazoa; Chordata; Actinopteri; Kurtiformes; Apogonidae
Exons: 4
Source: RefSeq, a predicted model, not a curated record